AACGAACGCUGGCGGCGCGCCUAAUACAUGCAAGUCGAGCGAGAAGGUGUAGCAAUACACUUGUAAAGCGGCGAACGGGUGAGGAAUACAUGGGUAACCUACCCUCGAGUGGGGAAUAACUAGCCGAAAGGUUAGCUAAUACCGCGUACGCUUCCGGGACUGCGGUUCCGGAAGGAAAGCGAUACUGUGAGUAUCGCGCUCUUGGAUGGGCUCAUGUCCUAUCAGCUUGUUGGGAGGUAACGGCUCACCAAGGCUUCGACGGGUAGCUGGUCUGAGAGGACGAUCAGCCACACUGGCACUGCGACACGGGCCAGACUCCUACGGGAGGCAGCAGUAAGGAAUAUUGCGCAAUGGACGACAGUCUGACGCAGCGACGCCGCGUGGGGGAUGAAGGUCUUCGGAUUGUAAA
Molecule: ribosomal RNA, 409 nt
Filed under: uncultured bacterium
Lineage: Bacteria
Description: bacterial SSU rRNA
Rfam family: Bacterial small subunit ribosomal RNA
Source: RNAcentral